UGAAUACGAGAUGCUACGGCGUCGAAGCAGUGUAUGUCAGACUUCCAAGAAAAGCUCGCAAUGUCAUAAAUAAAGAAUGCCUGUACCAUAACCGACACAGGUGGGUAGGUAGAGUAUACUAAGGGGCGCGAGAUAACUCUCUCUAAGGAACUCGGCAAAAUAACUCCGUAACUUCGGGAGAAGGAGUGCCUUCUUUAAGAAGGUUGCAAUAACAAGAUCCAAGCAACUGUUUAUCAAAAACACAGGUCUCCGCUAAGUCGUAAGACGAUGUAUGGGGGCUGACGCCUGCCCAGUGCCAGAAGGUUAAAGAAGUUGGUUAGCUUUUGCGAAGCUGAUGACUGAAGCCCUGGUGAACGGCGGCCGUAACAAUAACGGUCCUAAGGUAGCGAAAUUCCUUGUCGGGUAAGUUCCGACCCGCACGAAAGGCGUAAUGAUUUGGAUACUGUCUCGGAGAGGGACUCGGUGAAAUAGACUUGUCUGUGAAGAUGCGGACUACCUGCACCAGGACAGAAAGACCCUAUGAAGCUUUACUGUAACUUGAAAUUGAAAUUGGACUUUAUUUGCGCAGUAUAGGUGGAAGGCGUUGAAAGUAAUCUUGCGGGAUUAGUGGAGCCAUCAGUGAGAUACCACUCCUAUAAUGUUAGAUUUCUAACUUUGGAUCAUGAUCUGGUCAAAGAACAGUUUCAGGCGGGCAGUUUGACUGGGGCGGUCGCCUCCCAAAUGGUAACGGAGGCGUACAAAGGUUUCCUCUGAACGGGUAGAAAUCGUAUCUAGAGUGUAAAGGCAUAAGGAAGCUUGACUGUGAGACCUACAAGUCGAGCAGGGACGAAAGUCGGUCUUAGUGAUCUGACGGUGCUGAGUGGAAAGGCCGUCACUCAACGGAUAAAAGUUACUCUAAGGAUAACAGGCUGAUCUCCCCCAAGAGUUCACAUCGACGGGGAGGUUUGGCACCUCGAUGUCGGCUCAUCGCAUCCUGGGGCGGUAGUACGUCCCAAGGGUUGGGCUGUUCGCCCAUGAAAGCGGUACGCGAGCUGGGUUCAGAACGUCGUGAGACAGUUCGGUCCAUAUCCGGUGUAGGCGUUAGAAUAUUGAGAGGAGCCUUCUUUAGUACGAGAGGACCGAGAAGGACAUACCUCUGGUGUACAGUUAUCGUGCCAACGGUAAACGCUGGGUAGCUAUGUAUGGAGAGGAUAACCGCUGAAAGCAUCUAAGUGGGAAGCCCACCUCAAGAUGAGUAUUCUCAU
RNAcentral lists this ribosomal RNA (1244 nucleotides) under metagenome. RNAcentral describes it as "bacterial LSU rRNA". It matches the Rfam family "Bacterial large subunit ribosomal RNA", at positions 1564 to 2817 of the family's 2925-position model. The record is from RNAcentral.